Molecule: long non-coding RNA, 286 nt
Filed under: Ananas comosus (pineapple)
Lineage: Eukaryota; Viridiplantae; Streptophyta; Magnoliopsida; Poales; Bromeliaceae
Description: long non-coding RNA (ACOM_LNC017237)
Source: RNAcentral
UAUAUAUAACAUUAAUAGUAACCAACCAAAUAAUAUAUUAAAAGCUCACUAUUCUACUAAUUCAUUAUGAAAAAAUUUCUGUAUAACCACAACGCAAUAAAAUAAAAAAAAAUAAAGUCAUCAUUUCUGAACCUAACUAAAAUCCAAAUAUUUCAUCCUGUCAUCCUCCUUAUUCUUCUAGUUAUUCUUUCAAACAACACUCAAGCACUACACAAAUAGACCAGUUUGAAAAUUUUAUUUCUUUCAUCACAUAAAUGUUUCUGCCAAUAUAUAAAAUAGUAGGGAC